GAGUUUGAUCCUGGCUCAGAUUGAACGCUGGCGGCAGGCCUAACACAUGCAAGUCGAGCGGAAACGAGUUAACUGAACCUUCGGGGAACGUUAACGGCGUCGAGCGGCGGACGGGUGAGUAAUGCCUGGGAAAUUGCCCUGAUGUGGGGGAUAACCAUUGGAAACGAUGGCUAAUACCGCAUAAUAGCUUCGGCUCAAAGAGGGGGACCUUCGGGCCUCUCGCGUCAGGAUAUGCCCAGGUGGGAUUAGCUAGUUGGUGAGGUAAUGGCUCACCAAGGCGACGAUCCCUAGCUGGUCUGAGAGGAUGAUCAGCCACACUGGAACUGAGACACGGUCCAGACUCCUACGGGAGGCAGCAGUGGGGAAUAUUGCACAAUGGGCGCAAGCCUGAUGCAGCCAUGCCGCGUGUAUGAAGAAGGCCUUCGGGUUGUAAAGUACUUUCAGCAGUGAGGAAGGUGGGUAUGUUAAUAGCAUACUCAUUUGACGUUAGCUGCAGAAGAAGCACCGGCUAACUCCGUGCCAGCAGCCGCGGUAAUACGGAGGGUGCGAGCGUUAAUCGNAAUUACUGGGCGUAAAGCGCAUGCAGGUGGUUUGUUAANUCAGAUGUGAAAGCCCGGGGCUCAACCUCGGAAUUGCUUUUUGAAACUCGGCUAACUCNAUUACUUGUAGAGGGGGGGGANAA
This 682-nucleotide ribosomal RNA is filed under the name uncultured bacterium. RNAcentral describes it as "bacterial SSU rRNA". It matches the Rfam family "Bacterial small subunit ribosomal RNA", at positions 9 to 668 of the family's 1533-position model. The record is from RNAcentral.